Molecule: ribosomal RNA, 1695 nt
Filed under: Spicara maena (blotched picarel)
Lineage: Eukaryota; Metazoa; Chordata; Actinopteri; Spariformes; Centracanthidae
Description: 16S ribosomal RNA
Rfam family: Bacterial large subunit ribosomal RNA
Source: RNAcentral
UGCCCAUUAGCUAGCCCACCCCCAAAAAUCAACAUACCCCCAUUAAUAACCCCAAAAACACCCACAUAAACCAAACAAAUCAUUUUUCCCCCUAAGUAUGGGCGACAGAAAAGGAACUAUGGAGCAACAGAGAAAGUACCGUAAGGGAACGCUGAAAGAGAAAUGAAAGAAUUUAGUAAAGCCUAAAAAAGCAAAGAUUUAUACUUGUACCUUUUGCAUCAUGAUUUAGCCAGUAUACCCAAGCAAAGAGAACUUUAGUUUGGCCCCCCGAAACUAAGUGAGCUACUCCAAGACAGCCUAGUAUAGGGCAAACCCGUCUCUGUGGCAAAAGAGUGGGAAGAGCUUCGAGUAGAGGUGACAAAUCUAUCGAACUUAGUGAUAGCUGGUUGUUUGAGAAAUGGAUAGGAGUUCAGCCUCUCGGCUUCUCACCUCAAUUUUUAUUCACAUUUUAAUUAGACUACUACAGAAACCAAGAGAGUUAGUCUAAGGGGGUACAGCCCCUCAGACAAAGGACACAACCUUCAUAGAAGGGUAAAGAUCAUACUUAAUUCAAGGUAAAGUGCCCCGGUGGGCUUAAAAGCAGCCAUCCGCCCAGAAAGCGUUAAAGCUCAGGCACACUUAACCUCCAUCGAUCCCGAUAACACAAUCUCACCCCCCUUUCAAUAUCAAACUAUCCACUGCAGACAGUGGAGAAAUAAUGCUAAAAUGAGUAAUAAGAGAAAAAAGAUUCUCUCCCUGCACAAGUGUACCUCGGAGCGGACUAACCACCGAGACUUAACGUCCCCAAACAAAGAGGGAAAUAGAUUACAAGUUAAUCAACUAGAAAAACAUCCAAGAUAAACCCGUUAACCCCACACUGGUGUGCUAAAUGGGAAAGACUAAAAGGAAGGGAAGGAACUCGGCAAACACUUAAAGCCUCGCCUGUUUACCAAAAACAUCGCCUCUUGCAAGACCAACGAAUAAGAGGUCCCGCCUGCCCUGUGACUAUAUGUUUAACGGCCGCGGUAUUUUGACCGUGCGAAGGUAGCGCAAUCACUUGUCUUUUAAAUGGAGACCCGUAUGAAUGGCUCCACGAGGGCUUAGCUGUCUCCCCCUCCCAGUCAAUGAAAUUGAUCUCCCCGUGCAGAAGCGGGGAUACUUACAUAAGACGAGAAGACCCUAUGGAGCUUAAGGCGCCAGGACAGCUCAUGUUAAACACCCCUAGAUAAAGGAAUGAACCUAGUGAAUCCUGCCCCAGUGUUUUUGGUUGGGGCGACCGCGGGGAAAUACAAAACCCCCAUGUGGAGUAGGAACACUAUAUGUUCCCAAACCCAAGAGCUACCGCUCUAAUAAACAGAAUUUCUGACCAGCUAAGAUCCGGCAAUGCCGAUCAACGGAAGGAGUUACCCUAGGGAUAACAGCGCAAUCCUCUUAAAGAGUCCUUAUCGACAAGGGGGUUUACGACCUCGAUGUUGGAUCAGGACAUCCUAAUGGUGCAGCCGCUAUUAAGGGUUCGUUUGUUCAACGAUUAAAGUCCUACGUGAUCUGAGUUCAGACCGGAGUAAUCCAGGUCAGUUUCUAUCUAUGAGAGUGAUCUUUUCUAGUACGAAAGGACCGAAAAGGAAAAGCCCCUGCCCAACGCACGCCUUACCUUCACCUACUGAAAACAACUAAAGUAGGUAAGAAGGCACACCUCCCCGCCUGAGAAUACGGCUA